CAUGUUUUGUGGGAGAGAAGUCGUCGUAGUAUAAAAAGUGUAAUUCUUAUGUCAUGUUUUGUGGGAGAGAAGUCUUUUUAGUAUCAAUAUUAUAAUUCUUUUGUCAUGUUUUAUUGGAGACAAAUUUUCGUAGUAUCAAUAUUAUAAUUAUUUUGUCAUGUUUUGUAGGAGAGAAGUCUUCGAAGUAUCAGUAUUGUAAUUCUUUUGUCGUUUUUUGUAGGAGAUAAGUCUUCUUAGUAUCAGUAUUGUAAUUCUUUUGUCA
Molecule: long non-coding RNA, 262 nt
Filed under: Mytilus galloprovincialis (Mediterranean mussel)
Lineage: Eukaryota; Metazoa; Mollusca; Bivalvia; Mytilida; Mytilidae
Source: RNAcentral